Molecule: ribosomal RNA, 1215 nt
Filed under: Bushehr sesame phyllody phytoplasma
Lineage: Bacteria; Bacillati; Mycoplasmatota; Mollicutes; Acholeplasmatales; Acholeplasmataceae
Description: bacterial SSU rRNA
Rfam family: Bacterial small subunit ribosomal RNA
Source: RNAcentral
GCUUUAGGAGGGGCUUGCGCCAUAUUAGUUAGUUGGUAGGGUAAUGGCCUACCAAGACGAUGAUGUGUAGCUGGACUGAGAGGUUGAACAGCCACAUUGGGACUGAGACACGGCCCAAACUCCUACGGGAGGCAGCAGUAGGGAAUUUUCGGCAAUGGAGGAAACUCUGACCGAGCAACGCCGCGUGAAUGACGAAGUACUUCGGUAUGUAAAGUUCUUUUAUCAAGGAAGAAAAGCAAAUGGCGAACCAUUUGUUUGCCGGUACUUGAUGAAUAAGCCCCGGCUAAUUAUGUGCCAGCAGCCGCGGUAAGACAUAAGGGGCAAGUGUUAUCCGGAAUUAUUGGGCGUAAAGGGUGCGUAGGCGGUCUAGUAAGUCAGUGGUGUAAUGGCAACGCUUAACGUUGUCCGGCUAUUGAAACUGCUAAACUUGAGUUAGAUAGAGGCGAGUGGAAUUCCAUGUGUAGCGGUAAAAUGCGUAAAUAUAUGGAGGAACACCAGAGGCGUAGGCGGCUCGCUGGGUCUUAACUGACGCUGAGGCACGAAAGCGUGGGGAGCAAACAGGAUUAGAUACCCUGGUAGUCCACGCCGUAAACGAUGAGUACUAAGUGUCGGGUUAAACCGGUACUGAAGUUAACACAUUAAGUACUCCGCCUGAGUAGUACGUACGCAAGUAUGAAACUUAAAGGAAUUGACGGGACUCCGCACAAGCGGUGGAUCAUGUUGUUUAAUUCGAAGAUACCCGAAAAACCUUACCAGGUCUUGACAUGUUUUUGCAAAAUGAUAGUAAAUAUCGUGGAGGUUACCAGAAACACAGGUGGUGCAUGGUUGUCGUCAGCUCGUGUCGUGAGAUGUUAGGUUAAGUCCUAAAACGAGCGAAACCCUUAUCGUUAGUUGCCAGCACGUUAUGGUGGGGACUUUAACGAGACUGCCAAUGAUAAAUUGGAGGAAGGUGAGGAUCACGUCAAAUCAGCAUGCCCCUUAUGACCUGGGCUACAAACGUGAUACAAUGGCUGUUACAAAGGGUAGCUGAAACGCAAGUUCUUGGCCAAUCCCCAAAAACAGUCCCAGUCCGGAUUGAAGUCUGCAACUCGACUUCAUGAAGUUGGAAUCGCUAGUAAUCGCGAAUCAGCAUGUCGCGGUGAAUACGUUCUCGGGGUUUGUACACACCGCCCGUCAAACCACGAAAGUUGGCAAUACCCCAAAACGGUAGCCUAA